CUUGGAGCACCCGCCCCUUUAAACGUCUCUGCACGGCCCUGAGCGAGGAGAACUGAUGCUGUUUGAGAGCAAAGGGAGGCUGAGAUGGAUUAUAUCUUUACUGCCAACUAUGUUCACAAGUGUGAGGAAUUUGACUAAAGCAUCAACACAAAACCCAACCAUGCUGACAAAAUGUCGUGGUCCAGGGUUAUUUGUAAAGUUUUUGGGCUCAAGUUUUAGUUCUUGUUUUAAAUUUGAUUGUUAUUCUAGUGGUCUUGAUUUUAAUGAAAGCCUGUUUGCCUUUAUUUUGUUUUUCUUUUUUAUUCCACUAUCCCCACUGUUUGUCAGAUCCGUUCCUCAGUCGUAUCAGUACUUUCCCCUUUGUCACAGUAAGGUGGAGUUUCAGGCUCAACUGCAGGGAUCAGUGCAGUGUGAAUCAGCUUACUUUCAAUCAUGCACUUUAUCCUGCAGAGCUAAUGUGCCAAAAUGCUACCGCAGACUACACUACAACCUAAUGUUGCUAACAAUGAAAGGGCAAAGGGAAAAUUGUAAUGCACUCUCCAAGUGAGUUCGCCAUGCCAAACAGCAUGACACAGGAAUUUAUUUGUAGUUACAGAUCUCUCUGCCUAAGCCUUCUAGGACAACAAGGUCCUUCAAAAAAAAAACUCACAACUUGGCAUCCAUUUGGAAAUAACUUUAAUUUAUUUGGUCACAGAGAUGUAAAAGCUCCAUUUAUUACUUCAAUCUGAAAGAAAGAAACACUUCAAGAGUUUGUAGAUUUUUGUUUCAAAUGUAGGUAUUAAAAACUUUUUUUGUUUCUACCCUGAAAGUUUAACUUCUAUGGCCAUCUCUGCUUUAGUGCAGAGUUCAUGUCUUCCUCUUAUAAUUCCUCCGAUGUUAGUGAGGCAACACACUUAUAUAAAUGAAACAGAGGCAACAAAACUUGAACACAGACACAAACACAUGUAAUACAAUUUAAAGUGAAGGGACAGGAUAUUAGGUUUUAGUGUAUGGUAGAAACAGGAUGUGUGCAGGCAGUGUUGAAACAAAUGUACUCAUCUUACUUUAAGAUUGGAAAUACAAACGUAUGAUUGUGGGCAUUAUAUCCAGCAAGUUGAAAUUAAAUGUUUUAUCCCAGCGAUAGAACUUCACUGCUUUCAUACAGUACUCUCUUAUUAUGGGCACAGCACGGAGAUAUAUGAUGUUGUAAGACCUGCUUUGUUUCAGAACAUGAGAUGUUCAUGGACAUUAAGCUAAAAUAUGAUUUAUUUAAGUGUUAUUUGUGAUUAAAUAUCACGAUUUUCUGUCAGUGUUGUUGUAAUGCAGUUUUGUUUUGGGGUUUUUUUUUAGCUUUGUCAUGGUUAUAUAAAACAGAGAGGUUUGGACAGGCAAUUUAUCUAAAUGUUAAUCAACCUUUAUAACCACUAAAGCACACCCUCUAUUCAUACUGGAAAUCUGACUUUUGGCAAAAGUUCAUUGUUAAUCAAUGGUGCACAAAACUUUCUGUUUGUUCAGCACACGUAGUUCACGUUUGCCAAAUUACUCCCAUGUACUGAAACAGCAAUUUCUUCACAUAAAACAGUCAAAUCUAGGAAAAGUUGCCACCCCAGACCUUCUCAAUCAGCUAAGUGAAUUUGCAGAUUCAUACACAUACAGUGCUAAAAACACAAAGUGGAUCUUGAAGUCUAUAAUCUUUUUUCUUUCUGGUUUCAGAAACUCACAGCAGAAUAUCAAAGUGCUGCCCACAAUGUCAUUGUCAUGCAUUACAAGUGUGACCUGGGCUGUAUCCCAAUUCAGGGUCUGCAGCCUUAAAGUGUCAUGAUCCUGGGCCAUGUUGGCCCAGCAUUCUUAGUAGUUGUGUAUUUUUGUAUUUUGUUCUUUAUUUAUGCAUUGGUUCCUAGGUUGUUCAGUUAAGAUGUUCCUUAUUUGGUCACCCUCUGUGUGCCCUUCUGUAUCUGUGAACCCUCGUCUCCCCUCCUUGUGUUUUAUUCCAUGUUUCCCCAGCCUGCUAUGCCUGUGCUCUCCUCUCUCUCUCUCUCUCUCUCUCUCUCUCUCUCUCUCUCUCUCUUUCUCCUCCUGUCUGCACCUCUGUACUUCCUGUUUUACUUUGACAGUCUCCCGUCAGUGUCGUGUUUCUCCCGCCAUGUCUCGUUACGAUUAUCUGUGUCAGCUGUGUUCCCCGUGUGCUUCCCUCGUUAACCCUCUGUGUAUUUAUGUGCAUGUCUCUCUCAGUUCAGUGUCGCGUCGUCAAUGUCUCCUCCCCGAACCUGUGUGCCUUUCUGUGUUUCCUCGGUCCUCAGUUUAGUUUACCCAGUUCAGUUCUCUUACUUUGUAAGACCUGCAAUAAAGCAGCGAUUUUGAGUUCAG
This is a long non-coding RNA of Oreochromis niloticus (Nile tilapia), 2346 nucleotides long. RefSeq lists it as uncharacterized. The transcript is spliced from 2 exons. The record is from RefSeq and is a predicted model, not a curated record. NCBI's taxonomy places the organism in Eukaryota, Metazoa, Chordata, Actinopteri, Cichliformes, Cichlidae.